This 61-nucleotide transfer RNA is filed under the name Hydrophilidae sp. BMNH 1274306. RNAcentral describes it as "tRNA-Cys". Lineage: Eukaryota; Metazoa; Arthropoda; Insecta; Coleoptera; Hydrophilidae. The record is from RNAcentral.
AGCCUUAUAUUCAAAUAUGAUUUUAAAUUGCAAAUUUAAAGGUGAGGAUUCUCUAAGGCUU